RNAcentral lists this long non-coding RNA (999 nucleotides) under Salmo salar (Atlantic salmon). Its description in RNAcentral is "lncRNA (ENSSSAG00000093815.1, ENSSSAG00075064739.1)". Lineage: Eukaryota; Metazoa; Chordata; Actinopteri; Salmoniformes; Salmonidae. The record is from RNAcentral.
GUAAAUGUACCUAGUGUCUCAUUUUUAUUCGAUUGAAUAUCAUUUAUCAUUGUUUACGAAUACAUAAUUUAAUUUAAAUAGCAUAUCUGUGCUGUAGUGUUGAGAUUCGUUCUGGGCAGGUUUUUAGGAGUUUGUUAUUUACGGUUUUAAAAAUAAAGACCACGUUUUACGCCCUAUUUUGACCCUGAAGGUUUGGAUUGAUCUGCUGUUGCUUUGGACAGUUGACGACUGGUUUGGGGGUCUUAUUGUUUUAGGACAAAGAUCAUCUCAAGUCUGGACUCGCAGGAAAAUACUGGCAUUUGUUUUACCACCACUUCUAUUUUGGAAAUACUGUGAAAUAAGACUACAAGGUUUUGGUGUUUGUUUUUAAAACACUGGACAUUUCUAAAGCAUACUCAUGUCAUGUCUUGAUGCCUACUGCCAGAUCCUGAAAUAAAGCUGCUUAUUCGGGCGUCACAUCGAUCAGAGCCUGAAGUCGCAGUCCAGGAGCUUGUCAAACCCUUCAACUUCCAUUCACAUUAAUGGAAGCUUUCCAUGGAAGUUGGCAUCACUCGACACUGCGGCCGUGGGAUAGUGAACCAAUCAAAAGUGGAUUGAAGAGUAGCCUUUUCCCCGUAACCCAAUCAGCAUUGUGUAUACAUGAGCCACUCCCACACCCUGCCCUUACAUGGCACGGAGGACUGGCCAAGGUCUACUGAUGGAUGUAAAGGCUGCUAGUUCAGAGACAACAGAACCACAAUACCAAGACUACUACUACUACUAUUACUUAUACUACUACUACAGAAGCACAACUACCAAGAGUACUACUACAUAACCAGAAGGAUGGAAACAGCUACCGACUUGACUCUGGUAAGAUCCGAUUACUAAUCAUAAUUUUAGAUUAAAUCAAUGGACAUUGAAUGUAUCUAGCACAGUAACAUAUAUUUUUGUCCACAAUUUCAGAUUGAAUAGUGCUAGUUAUAGAUCGCACUGAUAUCAAAAUACGUAAUCCCCUCCAAU